Long non-coding RNA from Haemorhous mexicanus (house finch), 1968 nucleotides. RefSeq lists it as uncharacterized. The transcript is spliced from 3 exons. The record is from RefSeq and is a predicted model, not a curated record. NCBI's taxonomy places the organism in Eukaryota, Metazoa, Chordata, Aves, Passeriformes, Fringillidae.
GCCCGGGGCAGCGGCUCGGCCGCACCUCUGAGGGCUCCGGCAAGAGCAGCGCUCGCCUCUCCGCGAACACGGACGGGCUCCGUCCUCACGGAGGAUACGGCUCCAGCGCCGCUCUGUCGCCGUACGGGUCGGGGACCGUCGGCCAAAAGCAGCGGCAGCCUGAGCUCGAGAGUAAGCGGGGCCCACAUGGGUGGUGAUGCUGGUCACUAAUGACACCGCACCGACCAGGCACAGCGAGCCUCAGCACUUUGGUUAACCCAACUUCCAACUGCUGUGACCCAUCCUGCCUCUUGAAAUGAACCAAACGGAUUAUGCUGAAGACUCUUGUGAUGCCGAUAGAGGUAGAAGGAACAGCACGUUUAGCAGAGCCAUUGUCUUCCUCAUUUUCAUGGGGACGUUUUCUCGUUGUGGUUGGCUGGAAGAAAAACACAGGAGGAUGGCUCCAGGAAACCAGUGUCACCUGAUUUGAUUGUGGAUACAAUUGAAUUGAUGGAUAAGGUAAGAAAUAUUUUUCCAUUGAUGUAACAAAGACCUGUGGUUUUUCUUCAGCAUGCAGUCAAACUAAUCUUGUACCAUUCAAAAGAUUUCAGUGAAGAUUUCAGAGGCAGAAACAGCAAUAAUUGUUUAUAUGCCUUUAAAAAAAUGUUUUAUUAAGUAAAUACAGGUAAGAAGACAUUUCCACUGAGCAGUACUUAGGUUUACACAGCUCAACAGGUUUUUAAAGUUCUAGAUUUAAGCAAAGAAUGGAGUAAACAACUUGUUUUGAAAACACUAAUUUGAAAGCACUACUAGUUUAAAUAAAUCUGCAGAACAUGCUUACUUCUAGUACCUGAAAAAUUCCCUAGUGCCCCCAAAAUCAUCAGAGGGCAUCAGCUGGUCACAGAGAGAAUGGGGUUUUUUCCUGCUGACUUGUAAAGUCAAUACUUCCAGACAACACAAGAGGGAGAGAGAAGCCAGUAACUCCUCACUACUCACUGGGGCAGGACUGGGGAGCUCUUUUGGUGCUAUGAGAUGUGUGAUAUCUAGAGCUGAGCAUGCUGGAUGCUGGCCUUCCAAGCAGGCAGUUCACAUCGCCUAUGAACACCUGACACUCCUAGUAACAGCCCCUGAAGGGAAACAGCUCAAAGAACAGCAGCUGAAUGCUUGAUGACAUCUGGUUUUAUGGCUAUGAUGUUUUCUGGAACCUUCUGUCCUGUCGUCAGAAUUAAACUUAACAGUAAGAGAUGUCCUUACAUGCAAUAUAUAAUCAAGUUAAUAACAACUUGAGUAUAUAAACUGAAAUAUCUUAAAUUCUUAGCUCAUCUAAAUCAGUCAUCUAUUUCCCCUUCCCCCUUUAUGCAUACCAGCAAUUUUUAAAAUCAGUGCUGCAUGGUUUCUGAAUAACUUUUCUGCUCAGAUUUGUAAUUCCAAUGUAAGAAUCUAUAUCUGAUUAACUCAUUGUAGAUGUUACACACAAAACUACAGUAACUAAAACCCAUGAAUGUCAGGAAAAGCUUCCUGAUGCCCAGGAGCAUAAUCAAGACAAGUUAAUCACUUUAAAAAGUAAUCCACACAUGUUUUUUGUCUCAGAACACUAUCAGCUGUUGGGCACUGAGGGAUACUCCCUUGCUUCCCCCAUUUCUUAUGCUCUUUACCAAAGCAUCUGAAAUUCUGCUGUUCCCAGUGGAGGAACAGGAAUAGCCUUGUGCUUGGUGUGAAUAAACAGAACCUGUUGCGUGGCUCAGAUGGAGGCUGGGUGACAUUUUUCAGCCUCUUCAAGCAAAAAUAUUCAAGAAAGCUCAUAGGUUUAAAUUUAAGAAAAGACCACCUAAAUACUAUCCCUCUCAAACCUAAUUAGACUCUAACAGGAGGCAGGGAAACCAUCACUUCCUACUCAGAGGGUUCCCAAACCAGGGACACAGCAGAGUAAAAACAAGCUAGUAUUGGAUGCUUGCCAGAAACAAACUGCACUGCCUGCCCACACAAAUA